CUCAUUCCUUAGUUAAGUCAAACCCACCAUUGAGCAUAAGUGAAGCCACCAUUGGACCCUUAUCUAAUAGAUCUUAGGCCCAACCUCAUCUGCACUCCAUAGCAUCUCAUGCCAAUAGAGUAGUUGUUUUUCUCCUGAUACAACUAAACCAUUGUAUCUAGCCGAGAACAAUCAAUAUCAGAGUGGGCACGAUACUCUACAACGAUGGAAGACCCUU
This 217-nucleotide long non-coding RNA is filed under the name Elaeis guineensis (African oil palm). Its description in RNAcentral is "long non-coding RNA (EGUI_LNC017379)". Lineage: Eukaryota; Viridiplantae; Streptophyta; Magnoliopsida; Arecales; Arecaceae. The record is from RNAcentral.